Molecule: transfer RNA, 85 nt
Filed under: Kastovskya adunca ATA6-11-RM4
Lineage: Bacteria; Bacillati; Cyanobacteriota; Cyanophyceae; Coleofasciculales; Coleofasciculaceae
Also listed under: 1 other name
Description: tRNA-OTHER
Rfam family: tRNA
About the family: Transfer RNA (tRNA) molecules are approximately 80 nucleotides in length. Their secondary structure includes four short double-helical elements and three loops (D, anti-codon, and T loops).
Source: RNAcentral
GGAAGAUACCGCCGAAUGGACGGCAAGCGGUCUUGAAAACCGUGGUACGGCUGACGCUGUAGGGGUUAGAGUCCUCUAUCUUCCU